RNAcentral lists this long non-coding RNA (1244 nucleotides) under Salmo salar (Atlantic salmon). RNAcentral's name for it is "lncRNA (ENSSSAG00000086594.1)". Lineage: Eukaryota; Metazoa; Chordata; Actinopteri; Salmoniformes; Salmonidae. The record is from RNAcentral.
CACUUUUCAAGUUGCAAAGCUGUCUAACAUAGCACUGCUGUUGUUUACAUGCUCCUCCUUGGUCACUUGCAAUUGAAGAUGACAUCAAUCAGGCUUUGUGUAUGUGAAGGUGACUGAGGAGCAUUAAACAUUACACAGUCCCUGCAACUGUUAAACCUUUCUUCCAGAUUCUAACAUCAACCGGUGACAAAUUUGAUUCAGGUGAAUAAAACGUUUGUUUAUCUAGGCCCACUAUUACAAUGCAGAAAACUUGGCAUGGAGACUGAAGCACCUGCAAAAGGAGGCUGCAGGGGAAUAAAGUUCCCUUGUAGAUCAUGAACAGGUGGGUCAGCUGGUUGGCAUACAUAACUGUCUUUUAUUUGAGUGUUUAUGGUUUGUGGUUGCUCGGGUGCAGGCAUUUGAGGGUGUAGGCAUGUGAGGGUUUGUUCACAAGGGAGUCAGACUUGUUUUUUAUGGAUUUUUCUCACGAUUCAGUGUAAUUGGGUUUGGUUGGACUGUUAGACCAGUGUUGUGUGUUCAGGUCCUUUUUAAUCUUUGGUUGAAGGUGGACCAGCUGCUGACAGAGACCCCAUAAUGAACGAAAAGUGAAGAAGGGCAGUGUUGAGAGGCCAUCGCGCUGAUGAAACACACGUCUGAUGAAGCAACCUUAAAAGUAAAGAUGAAACUGACCCACAGAACUCCUCUGACAUAGUCAGUGUUUCUGCUGUUUCUGAAUAUACCAGGCAUGAUUGAGCAAGAUUUUUAGGUGACGCAACUUCCGCAAAAUUCCGGGAGAAAUGGCCUACUGUUUUCAAACAGAAGGUCAUCCUGCAGAGCCAGGGAUUCACACCAACAACCAAGCUUCAUGACCUGAUACACAACACUGAGUCUACAGCUGAGGUGGGAAAUGGUACAGACAUACCACUUUACGCUGUAAUAUGAAGUUCUAUUAUGUGCAUGUGGGCUGGAGAAGAAUCUUUGGAUUGUUGUUGAAGGGGUUACAUUUCACACACCAGCCCUGGCAUACAUGUUCUGAAAGUGUUCUAAUGUCAGAAUUCAAAUUUGUGUUUCGAGGCUGGGACAGUGACAUGUCGUCCAUUCUUCUCCUCAUCCAUCUUCUGCCUCCCUCCGCUCAAGUCCGCAACAAGCCAGGAAAGAUGUCAGCAAGACACGCAGCGGAACAUCUUGUGAGGUUCAUAAAGGUCAGGCUACAAUUCAACAAAAAUGUGUUAUAUACAAAUUGUGUCACUGUAUCCUGAUCCCCC